GACGAACGCUGGCGGCGUGCUUAACACAUGCAAGUCGAACGGAAAGGCCCCUUUGGGGGUCCUCGAGUGGCGUACGGGUGAGUAACCUGUGCGUAACCUGCCCUUGACUUCGGGAUAACUUCGCGAAACUGGGGCAAAUUCCGCAUAGGAAUCCUUGCUCCCUGGUGGGUGUUGGCAAGCUUCGGCGGCUUUGUAUGGACUCGCGGCCCAUCAGCUUGUUGGAGGGGUAGUGGUUUACCAAGGCUUUGCCGGGGAGCUGGCCCGGGAGGGCGACCAGCAACAGUGGGACUGAGAUACGGACCAGACUCCGACGGGGGGCAGAGGUGGGGAAGAUUGCACAAGGAGCGGAAGCCUGAGGCAGCAACGCCGCGGGCGGGAGAGCGGCCUUCGGGUUAGAAACCGCUUGCAGCAGGGGCGAAGCUGGUGGUGACGGUACCUGGAGAAGAAGCACCGGCUAACUACGUG
Molecule: ribosomal RNA, 465 nt
Filed under: uncultured bacterium
Lineage: Bacteria
Description: partial 16S ribosomal RNA
Rfam family: Bacterial small subunit ribosomal RNA
Source: RNAcentral